Long non-coding RNA from Thunnus maccoyii (southern bluefin tuna), 1733 nucleotides. RefSeq lists it as uncharacterized. The record is from RefSeq and is a predicted model, not a curated record. NCBI's taxonomy places the organism in Eukaryota, Metazoa, Chordata, Actinopteri, Scombriformes, Scombridae. The transcript has 3 exons.
CACAUUUACAGAAUAAAGGCUUCAUAAUUACGGCACUCGGUCCUUCACAAAAAAACAAUUAAGUCAAAUCAAUAUGGAGUGCGUUCAAGAUCUAUCCAGUAGUUGGCCAUCAGAUGUUUCCUACAGAGCCACAGUGCCCCUGCCUCAGCUUAAAGAGCACACAUUGGAGCCUGAAUAACAUCCAGGUCUGAUAGCACAGUCUUGGCUGCUGAGCCAUACCAUAAUCUGUUCUUGCCCUGAGAUUGCCCCUCUACACCCUGAUCAUGAUUAUGCUGAACUGCCCCUGCCACUGGAGGAGCAACUUAAGGAAGCCUACAAGACCAUCAAUGAUCAAGCAGAAUUAAUAGCACAGCAUCAAGAAAAGCAGUUCCUCCUUUGAAGAUUCCAAGGUGGUGAUAAGAACCCUUUUUCCUUUUUCUUUGUCAUCUGAGGCAAGGUUUUUCUGAACAGGACUUUGCAUUGCGCUUCAAUGUGUCACAGUUAACUGUAAGCAGGGUCUGUGUAACUUGGACAGACUUCCUAAAUUUCAUGUUAGGAUCAUUUCCAAUUUGGCCUUCAAGAGAACCUGUAAACAAGCUGCCUCCUUGUUUCCAGAGCGCUUAUUAUUAGUUAUAGUUAUAUUAGAUUGUACGGAAAUACGUGCAAAGACCUAGUUCAAAAGUUCUCAACUUUGAAUAUACUCUCACUACAAAGGUAAUACCACCUUUAAGGGCCUAAUUAGAUUCUCUCCAUCAGGUGAAGUGAAUUUGUCAAUGACCUGUACACAGGUUCGAUAUCUGACAAGGGGAUAACAAGAGAAUCAUUGAUCCUAUCUUUACUUGAGGAAGGCGGUGAGGUCAUGGCUGAUGAAGCCUUUCUCAUCAAGCAUCUUCCUUCUGAGAUAAAGGUCUCCCUUGUGAUCCCACUCUUUUUAGGCACAAGUAGACAUUUAAACCCAGAAGAGGUGAUGCAGGCACAAGCAAUAGCCAAAUUUCACAUUCAUGUAGAGGAGGAUCAGGAGUAUCACAUAUUUAAUUGUCUUACCCAUGACACAAGUGGGCUCUUUUAACCAACUGUGGACUGUUUGUGGCCUCUUACGUAACCUCCAAGGCCCUCUGUUCUAAAGAGUGCUAGUGCCUCAGCCGAGUGUUGCCACUUCCUGUAUCUGUCAUUUCAAAUUUACAGCCCCUCAGCAUUUUAUGCACAGUCUAAAGUAUUUGUACUUCACUGUGCAGACUGAUGUAUGUGCAGAAUUUGACACUGGCAGGCUGUUUGCACAUUCAUCCACUGAAAGUGUAAAGUUUGUCUUUGCUCAUUGAAAUUUAGGCCGAAAACCAAAUCCAAAAGUGAGAAAUACUGUAUUCAUCAUGUUUGGAAAUAAUCAUGGCACUAUGCUGCCCGGAAAGACACUCCCCAGUGUCUUUCCGGGACUAUGCUGCUGUGCUCUCUGUUUCACACUGCAUAACAGCUGCAGCCCACUUCUGCUGUUUCAAGUUAAAGUGUUGUUGUAAAGGAGAAAGUUCGUGCCAAAACAGAAACUUUAUUUAAAUUCAUCUUAAAAAAAAUGUUGCACUGUAGACUCUUUAAUUCUUAUGUAUUUACUUGCAUCAAUAUACCUGCAAACCUUGACAGUUUAUUGAAAUGUUAGUGGAAUUAAUUCAUUUUUUGCAUCCUGAUAGACUAAAAUGUCUGUGUGGAUUCCAAGAGAGACAUCAUGUAUAUAUUUAGGCCUCAACUAAAUAUUUUCUGGAAAA